RNAcentral lists this ribosomal RNA (289 nucleotides) under Asterionellopsis glacialis. RNAcentral's name for it is "partial Eukaryotic small subunit ribosomal RNA". It matches the Rfam family "Eukaryotic small subunit ribosomal RNA", at positions 735 to 1025 of the family's 1831-position model. Lineage: Eukaryota; Bacillariophyta; Plagiogrammaphyceae; Rhaphoneidales; Asterionellopsidaceae. The record is from RNAcentral.
UCGGGGAACCAGGACUUUUACUUUGAAAAAAUUAGAGUGUUCAAAGCAGGCCUACGCCUGAAUACAUUAGCAUGGAAUAAUAAAAUAGGACGUGCGGUUCUAUUUUGUUGGUUUCUAGAGUCGCCGUAAUGAUUAAUAGGGAUAGUUGGGGGUAUUCGUAUUCAAUUGUCAGAGGUGAAAUUCUUGGAUUUUUGGAAGACGAACUACUGCGAAAGCAUUUACCAAGGAUGUUUUCAUUAAUCAAGAACGAAAGUUAGGGGAUCGAAGAUGAUUAGAUACCAUCGUAGUC